Crucibulum laeve is the source of this 84-nucleotide non-coding RNA. The record is from the annotation of a GenBank genome assembly. NCBI's taxonomy places the organism in Eukaryota, Fungi, Basidiomycota, Agaricomycetes, Agaricales, Nidulariaceae.
GUCUCCAUAGCUCAGUGGUAGAGCAUGCGAUUGCAGCUACUCACGACUAUCGCAGGGUCAGGUGUUCGAACCACCUUGGGGACU